Molecule: ribosomal RNA, 834 nt
Filed under: uncultured archaeon
Lineage: Archaea
Description: bacterial SSU rRNA
Rfam family: Archaeal small subunit ribosomal RNA
Source: RNAcentral
UCGGUUGAUCCUGCCGGAGGUUACUGCUAUCGGAGUUCGAUUAAGCCAUGCGAGUCUAAAGGUUUCUUCGGAAGCCUUGGCGGACUGCUCAGUAACACGUGGAUAACCUACCCUUGGGACUGGAAUAACCCCGGGAAACUGGGGAUAAUACCGGAUAGAUCAGGGAUGCUGGAAUGCACCUUGAUCCAAAGCUCCGGCGCCCAAGGAUGGGUCUGCGGCCUAUCAGGUAGUAGUGGGUGUAACGUACCUACUAGCCAACGACGGGUACGGGUUGUGAGAGCAAGAGCCCGGAGAUGGAUUCUGAGACACGAAUCCAGGCCCUACGGGGUGCAGCAGGCGCGAAACCUUUACAAUGUGCGAAAGCAUGAUAAGGGAACUCCGAGUGCCAGUAUCUAAUACUGGCUGUCCUUGUGCCUAAAACGCACAAGAUAGCAAGGGCCGGGUAAGACCGGUGCCAGCCGCCGCGGUAACACCGGCGGCCCGAGUGGUAGCCGCUAUUAUUGGGUCUAAAGGGUCCGUAGCCGGUUCGAUAAGUCCUCUGGGAAGUCUGGUUGCUUAACAAUCAGACUGCCAAGGGAUACUGUCGAACUUGAGACCGGGAGAGGUAAGAGGUACUUCAGGGGUANGAGUGAAAUCUUGUAAUCCCUGGGGGACCAUCUGUGGCGAAGGCNUCUUACCAGAACGGGUCUGACGGUGAGGGACNAAAGCUGGGGGCGCAAACCGGAUUAGAUACCCGGGUANUCCCAGCCGUAAANNAUGCUCGCUAUGUGUCNNNACGNUGUGACCGUAUCUGGUGCCNUAGGGAAGCCNUGAAGCNAGCCACCUGGGAAGUNC